This 392-nucleotide ribosomal RNA is filed under the name uncultured eukaryote. RNAcentral's name for it is "partial 18S ribosomal RNA". It matches the Rfam family "Eukaryotic small subunit ribosomal RNA", at positions 592 to 976 of the family's 1831-position model. The record is from RNAcentral.
CAAUAGCGUAUACUAAAGUUGUUGCGAUUAAAAAGCUCGUAGUUGGAUCUCAGGCAUGGGCGCACGGUCCGCCUCGCGGCGGUCACUGUGUGUUUUGUUUCCCAUCCUACGCUUCCCGGUUAUCAGCCCAUGGUGCUCUUCACUGAGCGUUUUGGGUGGCCGGAACGUUUACUUUGAAGAAAUUAGAGUGUUCAAAGCAGGCACGUCGCCUGAAUAAUGGUGCAUGGAAUAAUGGAAUAGGACCUCGGUUCUAUUUUGCUGGUUUUCGGAACACGAGGUAAUGAUUAAGAGGGACAGGCGGGGGCAUCCGUAUUGCGGUGUUAGAGGUGAAAUUCUUGGAUCAUCGCAAGACGAACAACUGCGAAAGCAUUUGCCAAGCAUGUUUUCAUUAG